Triplophysa dalaica is the source of this 2830-nucleotide long non-coding RNA. RefSeq lists it as uncharacterized. The transcript has 7 exons. NCBI's taxonomy places the organism in Eukaryota, Metazoa, Chordata, Actinopteri, Cypriniformes, Nemacheilidae. The record is from RefSeq and is a predicted model, not a curated record.
CAGAAUGCUGCCGCGUAAACAAACAUGGCGUCGCCCGUGCCUGAAUGACAACCCACAACUUUAAGACCAAGUAUUAAAACCAAUGGAAGCCUAUGGGCCCCCUAGUGGAUUUUGGUGGUAGGGCGGCUAAAAAACUCACAUACCCCUCCAAGAAUAAUGUGCUGUAUCAUGACCAAACUUGAUACAACACUUGGUGACCCUUUGUUCAUUAGGUCCAAAGUCUGGUGAAACUGAGGCUCAUGUGCACUCACUUGGUUUGGUAAACUUGUACAAAAAAGUCACUUUAACACAAACACAAGUAUAUACUAUAAAUUCAUUUCACUUUAUUUAAAAUCUUGUUCGAAACUGAAAUGACUGAUGAAGCCCCUCCCAAUUUCAGCCCCUCCCUCUCAGGUAGAUAUAAACGAGGAGACCCCACAGGACCAGUCACCCACUUUCUGCUAGAACAUCCGACGCAGAUUUCUUUUGAUGCAGUUUUUGGAUUUUGAAAAACCUUCUUCUUCAAUCAAGAAUGGCUUCUCAAAGGUUGUUGGCUACAAUAUGAUUUGGCAGUGCUGAUCUCAACGAUUCGGUCCCUCUCUCUGCAUACGAGGUAGAAGGCUCACUUCUGUUGACUCCCAAGAGAUUCAUACAAGUAAAACAGAACUGAGUCUUACCAGUGCAUAAUGGCAGCUGGAUCCGCACAACCCUUGAUCCUUCGUGUUGUUGAGCCAGACCAGGCUAGAAAAUUUAAACUCUGUUCACGACCAACCUCUGUUGAUGCACUGAUUGCAGUAAUUAAAGAACAACUGGAAAUAGACCAUGACUUCAGUUUAAAAUAUGAAGACCCUUACUUUGAUGGAAACUUGCUUCUCUCUCUGCAUGUCACAUUUGAGCAAGAUUCCAGCUCUCAUUCAUCAGCCGAAACAAUCUCAAGUGUAUCAUCCUCAGAACGUGGGAGCAGAUGGCCUUCAGUUCUUUUUCCAAUUCCAACAUUUUCUUUUGAUGUUGAACUGAAACUUCGAGAAAGUAAUGCCCAAUUUGAGAAGAACCACAAUCACCUUCAGUUAACAAGAGAUGUAAAGCAUGACAUUUUAGAAAAGUUAGCAUACUCGAUGUAUGGCUACAAGGCUUAUCCCAGUGAUGAGGAGAUAGCAAUGGUAGCUGAGGCUCUUGUGGGAAAAUAUCCUUGCUUGAAGGAAGUAGGAUCUGAGACUGGGUGGAAGAACAGCCUCGAGUUUAAGAUGGGAAACUACAGGAGCAAGAUGAGUAGGGCUGGAUGUCCAGAGAUCACUGUUAAUGCAGGAAAAAGAAGUAGAAUGAAUCCUGACAGUGAAUCUUCACAUUCAAAUAUUAAAAGGGCCAAACCAGCAGAAGUAAACUUUCUGCCAAACUUUCCCCAGGGAGAGAAUCCCUCUACUCUUGAACAGUUUAGGCAGAAACUCGUUGAUGAAAUGAAGAAAGCUGAGAAGAACUUUGUGCUUUAUAAGAAAGAUGAUGCAGACAACAUUAUCCCGGCGGCGACAGACCGAAGUGAGCACAUGCCCACCAGUGAAAGACCUCAUUGAACUCUGGCCUGCACUCAAAAUGGAGUCUGAGAGUUCCAACGAAUUACAAACCAGAACCUGCCCAACACAUUGUACUCUGAGCUUCACAGACAUCUUCCAAGACUGAUGACCCUGCUCAUACAGAAGGCAGCCAAAACCGGGCAGACAUCAGAUGCUCUGUCUGAAAUCCUAAGAAUCUGUGAUGAACAGGAGCUUCAUAACGUACACACCAAGCGUACAACUGUUCUUCAUGCCCUUCCUGUGUAUUCACAUGAGGACGUCUCUGGGUUCUUCAGGACCUGCACAGUGAGCAUUUAAAAAGAAUGUACGCUACCAUAUUAAGUAAACUGUUAAUAUAAAUACAGUUAUGCUUACUUGCACAUUUACCCUUGUUCAGACUCUCCAAUCAUAUAGUUCAUGCAAUUUGAAGAGAUUUGAUUUGUUUUCUUUGACCUCACUAUAGAUUGACCUUAGUACUAGACCGCUUUAAACAAGAGGAGGUGUUUUCUUUAUAGGUUUUUUCAGCAUAUUAUCAAUCUCUUGCAACUUUGGUUUACUGGUAGCUUGGCUGACUCCUGUAGAACACUGAUAUUCUGUUUUCUCAUCCUCAUGUGUAGUUUGUUAACACAACUCUCAAAAUCACAGAACUUUCUGUCUGUUGGUCUGCAGCAUAAUUGUUGUUAAAUCUAUGUCAUGACUAGCUAUAUGCCAGUAUUUGUCAAAAAAUGUAAUAUUUAUUUUUACCUUCAGUAUUUGUAGCCAUGUGUAACCAGUUUUUGCUUUAAUAUCACACAUCUGAUGAACCACUGCUUUUAGAUGUUGCAGUGGCCCUCCUUACAGUCGUCACAGAUAAUGACACAAGUCCAGUUCACUUCCAGCCUGUGAAAAUCUCUGUUGUCAUGAAAGCGAGAUUGUGGUCAAUCUCUCUAGAUUUGCUGAUGCCUUCCUGGUAAUGUUUGGACUGAUCUAGGCACUACACCUCAGCUAUCCCAGGGCACUGACCAACACUUGUGAAUUCACUCAGAAAUUUUACUUGUCUUAAGAUGGUAAACUGUCACCCAAGUUACGGAGUCUCAGAAAUGACUUGAUGCGUAUGUAGAAAUAUACAGAUAUAUGUUUCUACAGAUAUGUAUCUGGAAAAUGUUGUAAAGCCUGGCAGUUCCUCUGUAGUUCAAUGCUGGUUGUUUCUUUGAAAAUAACGCCUUAAAGGGUUUCUGUGUUUUAUGUGGGUUUUCUCCACAAUAUGCACAAUGUGCCUUUGUAUUUAUAAAUGUUAUUUGGUAUUAAUAAGCUCUUGUUCUUGA